GAUGAACGCUGGCGGCGUGCCUAAUACAUGCCAGUCGAGCGAACAGACGAGGAGCUUGCUCCUCUGACGUUAGCGGCGGACGGGUGAGUAACACGUGGAUAACCUACCUAUAAGACUGGGAUAACUUCGGGAAACCGGAGCUAAUACCGGAUAAUAUGUUGAAUCGCAUGGUUCAAUAGUGAAAGACGGUCUUGCUGUCACUUAUAGAUGGAUCCGCGCCGCAUUAGCUAGUUGGUAAGGUAACGGCUUACCAAGGCAACGAUGCGUAGCCGACCUGAGAGGGUGAUCGGCCACACUGGAACUGAGACACGGUCCAGACUCCUACGGGAGGCAGCAGUAGGGAAUCUUCCGCAAUGGGCGAAAGCCUGACGGAGCAACGCCGCGUGAGUGAAGAAGGUCUUCGGAUCGUAAAACUCUGUUAUUAGGGAAGAACAAAUGUGUAAGUAACUAUGCACGUCUUGACGGUACCUAAUCAGAAAGCCACGGCUAACUACGUG
RNAcentral lists this ribosomal RNA (497 nucleotides) under uncultured bacterium. RNAcentral describes it as "partial 16S ribosomal RNA". It matches the Rfam family "Bacterial small subunit ribosomal RNA", at positions 28 to 507 of the family's 1533-position model. The record is from RNAcentral.